This 225-nucleotide ribosomal RNA is filed under the name uncultured bacterium. Its description in RNAcentral is "partial 16S ribosomal RNA". It matches the Rfam family "Bacterial small subunit ribosomal RNA", at positions 122 to 334 of the family's 1533-position model. The record is from RNAcentral.
CGAUCUACCCAAGGGUGGGGGACAACUCAGGGAAACCUGAGCUAAUACCGCGUACAGCGCCGGCUUGGAAGCCUGGCGUGAAAGCUGGCCUCUACUUGUAAGCUAGCGCCUUUGGAUGAGCUCGCGGCCUAUCAGCUUGUUGGUAAGGUAAUGGCUUACCAAGGCGAAGACGGGUAGCUGGUCUGAGAGGAUGAUCAGCCACACUGGCACUGGAACACGGGCCAG